GGGCAUUCAUAUUAAAUGGUUAGCGGUGAAAUGUGUGGACCCAUUUAAGAUGAACUAAAGCGAAAGCAUUUGCCAAGGAUGUUUUCAUUAAUCAAGAACGAAAGUUAAGGGAUCGAAGACGAUUAGAUACCGUCGUAGUCUUAACUAUAAACUAUGCCGACCAGGGAUAUGAGUAGUUUAUUUCAUUAGUUUUCGGAUUAGUGAUACUUCUCCUUAUGCACCUUGUGAGAAAUCAUAAGUUUUUGGGUUCUGGGGGAAGUAUGGUCGCAAGGCUGAAACUUAAAGGAAUUGACGGAGGGGCACCACCAGGAGUGGAGCGUGCGGCUUAAUUUGACUCAACACGGGAAAACUUACCAGGUCCAGACAUUUGAAGGAUUGACAGAUUGAUAGCUCUUUCAUGAUUAAAUGGGUGGUGGUGCAUGGCCGUUCUUAGUCUGGUGGAGUGCUUUGC
Molecule: ribosomal RNA, 451 nt
Filed under: Vannella cf. miroides
Lineage: Eukaryota; Discosea; Flabellinia; Vannellidae
Description: bacterial SSU rRNA
Rfam family: Eukaryotic small subunit ribosomal RNA
Source: RNAcentral